UGCAACUUUUUAUUAUCUUUGCAGCUAUUUAAGAUGAAUUUGUCUUAGAGCUUUCGCUUGCACGUUUGAAGGCUCUUGCUGAAUUUGUCUUUGGUAUGGGUUUAUAUCAGGGUGUUCCGUCUACUCUUGCUUUCAUAGCCUUCGAACUCCCACCUAAUGGAGCUAUUGGCACUCGGAUUCUGGAGUUCCUAUUUCGCUCCAGAUCUGAUAUGAUUGCAGGUGAUCGAUCGUCAGAAGUAUUGAUGAGGCUAUAACAACUGGCACUGCACUCUCGUUGUCAUCUUCUACAUUUGUUCUACAGGAAUGAAAGUCCCCUUGUAACACUAGUUACUGUAAGAUCUUAAUCUUUUAUCUUUUCCUUGUUGUGUCCCGAUAGAAUUUGCUUAGGAAAUGGCUUAAUAAAAGUGCGCUCGGGUCAUUUUGACCCAUUUAACUAAGAAUUAGACCCGAACGCAUUUUAAACAACUAAAAAUUAGCAUUUAAUUAUAGUUUGUUAGUAUUGUUGCUAUGUUAUUUGUGUUUGUAGUUUCGUUUAACAUGUUUUAACAAGUUUAAAUUUAUUUGAUUUGUGUGAUUUUU
Helianthus annuus (common sunflower) is the source of this 579-nucleotide long non-coding RNA. RefSeq lists it as uncharacterized. The record is from RefSeq and is a predicted model, not a curated record. The transcript is spliced from 4 exons. Lineage: Eukaryota; Viridiplantae; Streptophyta; Magnoliopsida; Asterales; Asteraceae.